CCUACGAGUGGCAGCAGUGGGGAAUAUUGCACAAUGGGGGAAACCCUGAUGCAGCGACGCCGCGUGAGUGAAGAAGUAUCUCGGUACGUAAAGCUCUAUCAGCAGGGAAGAAAAUGACGGUACCUGACUAAGAAGCCCCGGCCAACUACGUGCCAGCAGCCGCGGUUAUACGUAGGGGGCAAGCGUUAUCCGGAUUUACUGGGUGUAAAGGGGGCGUAGACGGCAGCACAAGUCUGGAGUGAAAUCCCUGGGCUGAACCCCGGAACUGCUUUGGAAACUGGGCGGCUGGAGUGCAGGAGGGGUAAGCGGAAUUCCUAGUGUAGCGGUGAAAUGCGUAGAUAUUAGGAGGAACACCGAUGGCGAAGGCAGCUUACUGGAGUGUAACUGACGUUGAGGCUCGAAAGCGUGGGGAGCGAACAGGAUUAGAUACCCGAGUAGUC
RNAcentral lists this ribosomal RNA (440 nucleotides) under uncultured bacterium. RNAcentral's name for it is "partial 16S ribosomal RNA". It matches the Rfam family "Bacterial small subunit ribosomal RNA", at positions 338 to 795 of the family's 1533-position model. The record is from RNAcentral.